AUUGAACGCUGGCGGCAGGCCUAACACAUGCAAGUCGAACGGUAACAGGAAGAAGCUUGCUUCUUUGCUGACGAGUGGCGGACGGGUGAGUAAUGUCUGGGAAACUGCCUGAUGGAGGGGGAUAACUACUGGAAACGGUAGCUAAUACCGCAUAACGUCGCAAGACCAAAGAGGGGGACCUUCGGGCCUUUUGCCAUCGGAUGUGCCCAGAUGGGAUUAGCUAGUAGGUGGGGUACCGGCUCACCUAGGCGACGAUCCCUAGCUGGUCUGAGAGGAUGACCAGCCACACUGGAACUGAGACACGGUCCAGACUCCUACGGGAGGCAGCAGUGGGGAAUAUUGCACAAUGGGCGCAAGCCUGAUGCAGCCAUGCCGCGUGUAUGAAGAAGGCCUUCGGGUUGUAAAGUACUUUCAGCGGGGAGGAAGGGAGUAAAGUUAAUACCUUUGCUCAUUGACGUUACCCGCAGAAGAAGCACCGGCUAACUCCGUG
RNAcentral lists this ribosomal RNA (490 nucleotides) under uncultured bacterium. Its description in RNAcentral is "partial 16S ribosomal RNA". It matches the Rfam family "Bacterial small subunit ribosomal RNA", at positions 30 to 507 of the family's 1533-position model. The record is from RNAcentral.